Molecule: unclassified non-coding RNA, 245 nt
Filed under: uncultured Inocybaceae
Lineage: Eukaryota; Fungi; Basidiomycota; Agaricomycetes; Agaricales
Description: sequence contains ITS1
Source: RNAcentral
UUGAAUAAACUUGAGCAGGCUGUUUGCUGACCUCUUUGGUGGGGUAUGUGCACGCUUGUCAUCUUUAUCUCUCCAACUUGUGCACAUAUUUGUAGACCUGGGAGUUUUGAAUUUACUUUAUGUUCAAGUUUUGGGAACUGCUUAUCAGCUUUUUGCCCUUGCCCAUGGUCUAUGUCAUUUUUCACAAACCUCUGAAUUCGUUUAGAAUGUUGAAUCAGGUGCAUUGUGUACCUUUAAUAAUAUAA